GACGAACGCUGGCGGCGUGCUUAACACAUGCAAGUCGAACGGAAAGGCCCUGCUUUUGUGGGGUGCUCGAGUGGCGAACGGGUGAGUAACACGUGAGUAACCUGCCCUUGACUUUGGGAUAACUUCAGGAAACUGGGGCUAAUACCGGAUAGGAGCUCCUGCUGCAUGGUGGGGGUUGGAAAGUUUCGGCGGUUGGGGAUGGACUCGCGGCUUAUCAGCUUGUUGGUGGGGUAGUGGCUUACCAAGGCUUUGACGGGUAGCCGGCCUGAGAGGGUGACCGGCCACAUUGGGACUGAGAGACGGCCCAGACUCCUACGGGAGGCAGCAGUGGGGAAUAUUGCACAAUGGGCGGAAGCCUGAUGCAGCAACGCCGCGUGCGGGAUGACGGCCUUCGGGUGGUAAACCGCUUUCGCCUGUGACGAAGCGUGAGUGACGGUAAUGGGUAAAGAAACACCGGCUAACUACGU
This 467-nucleotide ribosomal RNA is filed under the name uncultured bacterium. Its description in RNAcentral is "partial 16S ribosomal RNA". It matches the Rfam family "Bacterial small subunit ribosomal RNA", at positions 28 to 506 of the family's 1533-position model. The record is from RNAcentral.